AUCCAGCUCAGGGUGACAUCCAGCUCAGGGUGACAUCCAGCACGGGUCCCCUCUGGCCCAGGGUCCCAUCCAGCCCCUGUCCCUCAGCAUGACACGGCUGGCGCGGCGCCAGCCUGGGGACCGGCACCCUGGGGGCCACCAGGGCACCAUCGCCGCGGGCAGGAUCAGGCCCAGCUGGGGCUGGGACCCCCCCGGGGUGGGGGGGGGGACGACCCGCUGCCGCCUUCCCAGGAGGACGAUGCCGGCAAGGGGCUGCCAACGGGCCGGGAACGCCGGGGCCACCAGGGAUGCCGGAGACACCAGGGAUGCCAGCGACCUCGGGGACAUCGGGGACGCCGGGGACAUCGGGGACAGCAGGGGCGCCGGGUGGAAAGUUACCGUCCCACUGCACUUUCCAGGUGGCCAAACGCCCGGCUCCUCUGCCAGGCUUCGCUCCCAAAAAACACUACUGGGCAGCGCUCCCGUUCCGGGCGGGUUUUGGCCCAAAAGCGAAGGCCGAGAGCCGUGAGAAGGGAAGGCGAAGCCRUCCUGGCUGCCUCGUCCCCGCGCCGGGCGUUUCGGGGUGAAAAAGUCCUGUUUUGGGGGCUUUCCCAGCGCAGGGGUGGCCGAGCGCGGAGCGGCGGUGCUCUGCUCCGGGCCGCCCUGCACGCCCGGCCUCACGUGCACACGCACGUGCGCUGCUGCACACACACACGCGCGCGCUGUGCACAAGCAAACACCGGCACGUGGGUGUGCACGUGCGGUCAGCCCCACGCACACACACGCACACACACACACACACACACACACACACACACACACAGCGUGCGCUCCCCCGCACGCACAAGCGCAAAUGCACGCACGCAGCUUGUGCGCACACACGCGCGUGCUCACAGACGUUUGCACGCUCGCACGCGUGCACGCGCACGUGCUCACAAAUGCGUGUGCACACACACAGGCGUGCUCACAAGCGCGUGCACACUCGCAUGCACGCGGAAGCGCUGCCCUCACACGUGUGUGUGCACAAAGGCGUGCACACUAAUGCGUGUGCACACGCGCGUUCACACCUUGCACCCCCAUGGCUGUGCGCACACCCGGCAGCGCACAAGCGCACGCACAGGCAUUGCACACUCACCCGAGCGCACAGCCRCGCGUCGGACACAGGCGCACAGGGACGCACACCAGCGUGCGCGCGCACACACACACAGAGCACUCACACUCGCGCACACCCACGCACGGACACGCACACGCGUGCCCCCGCCGCGCCGCUCCGCGGGGGCCUCACAGCGCUGCCGCGAGGCAGAGGAGGAGCAGGAGGAGGAGGAAGAGGAGCGCGGGGCGGGCGGGGCGCGGGCCGCCGGAGCAGGGCUCGCCGCAGGUGCCGUCUGCGGAGAAACGGCGGGGGGAGACGCUCAGGCCGCAGC
RNAcentral lists this long non-coding RNA (1403 nucleotides) under Dromaius novaehollandiae (emu). RNAcentral describes it as "lncRNA (ENSDNVG00000016027.1)". Lineage: Eukaryota; Metazoa; Chordata; Aves; Casuariiformes; Dromaiidae. The record is from RNAcentral.